Molecule: ribosomal RNA, 818 nt
Filed under: Curtobacterium sp. LMR343
Lineage: Bacteria; Bacillati; Actinomycetota; Actinomycetes; Micrococcales; Microbacteriaceae
Description: bacterial SSU rRNA
Rfam family: Bacterial small subunit ribosomal RNA
Source: RNAcentral
UCGAACGAUGAUGCCCAGCUUGCUGGGUGGAUUAGUGGCGAACGGGUGAGUAACACGUGAGUAACCUGCCCCUGACUCUGGGAUAAGCGUUGGAAACGACGUCUAAUACUGGAUAUGAUCACUGGCCGCAUGGUCUGGUGGUGGAAAGAUUUUUUGGUUGGGGAUGGACUCGCGGCCUAUCAGCUUGUUGGUGAGGUAAUGGCUCACCAAGGCGACGACGGGUAGCCGGCCUGAGAGGGUGACCGGCCACACUGGGACUGAGACACGGCCCAGACUCCUACGGGAGGCAGCAGUGGGGAAUAUUGCACAAUGGGCGAAAGCCUGAUGCAGCAACGCCGCGUGAGGGAUGACGGCCUUCGGGUUGUAAACCUCUUUUAGUAGGGAAGAAGCGAAAGUGACGGUACCUGCAGAAAAAGCACCGGCUAACUACGUGCCAGCAGCCGCGGUAAUACGUAGGGUGCAAGCGUUGUCCGGAAUUAUUGGGCGUAAAGAGCUCGUAGGCGGUUUGUCGCGUCUGCUGUGAAAUCCCGAGGCUCAACCUCGGGCUUGCAGUGGGUACGGGCAGACUAGAGUGCGGUAGGGGAGAUUGGAAUUCCUGGUGUAGCGGUGGAAUGCGCAGAUAUCAGGAGGAACACCGAUGGCGAAGGCAGAUCUCUGGGCCGUAACUGACGCUGAGGAGCGAAAGCAUGGGGAGCGAACAGGAUUAGAUACCCUGGUAGUCCAUGCCGUAAACGUUGGGCGCUAGAUGUAGGGACCUUUCCACGGUUUCUGUGUCGUAGCUAACGCAUUAAGCGCCCCGCCUGGGGAGUACGGCCGCA